UCCCAUGGACACAGAUGCAUUUUCCAAAC
Molecule: non-coding RNA, 29 nt
Filed under: Rattus norvegicus (Norway rat)
Lineage: Eukaryota; Metazoa; Chordata; Mammalia; Rodentia; Muridae
Source: RNAcentral